This 550-nucleotide unclassified non-coding RNA is filed under the name Hevea brasiliensis (rubber tree). The record is from RNAcentral. Lineage: Eukaryota; Viridiplantae; Streptophyta; Magnoliopsida; Malpighiales; Euphorbiaceae.
AAAAAAAUGCCAUCAGUUAUUUAACCUAUAAAGAGAACCCAUACCCAAAUUUGAAACCCAAUAACAAAAUUUCUUUUUUCCUUUUUGAACUCACAAAAAGCUAUUUACAUUUUAUAAAAUUUCAUCAAAGCCCCAAUAACAUUUUUUAUAUUAAGAUUUUGUAAUGUUUCUCAGGUUAUGUUUAAAACUAUAUUUUGUAAGCCCCAAUAGCCCACACUUCUUGUGGCUUACAUAGUUCUGACAGAUGAAACCAGAUAUUGGAUUAAUCAGAAGCUAGAGUCAAGGAGGUAAACCCCAGAACGUAGAUGGAAGUUUACAAAAUAAACAUUGAGAAUUCCUAUGUCUAGUACAAUGGAAUGAAAAGAAUGAGGAGCUCUAAAAAUGGCUGACAUGGAGAUGGUGUAAUAAAUGUCUUAGGUAAUUCUAAAAUACCUAUUCAAUGGAAGUUAUGUACACUGCAACUCAACAAGCAAUGAUGCAUAGCAAGGUUUUAGAUUGCAGUUGCAAUCUGACUGUUUCAGGGUGUCAUGGUCAAAAUGUAACAGUUGCA